AGAUGAUUAAAACGUAUCUUUCCUUUAUGUGACGCGUCUCUAGUGCCUUACUGAAGAAGCAGUGACACUCCCGUCGCUCGGUGAGGACGUUCCCGGACAGUGCCUCACUCACCUGGGACUGGUAUCCCCUCCCAGGGUCCACCAAGGGCUCCUGCUUUUCAGACACCCCAUCAUCCUCGCGCGUCCUCACCCUGUCUCUACCAGGGAGGUGCCUAGCUUGGUGAGGUUACUCCUGCUCCUCCAACCUUUUUUUGCCAAGGUUUGUACACGACUCCCAUCUAGGCUGAAAACCUAGAAGUGGACCUUGUGUGUGUGCAUGGUGUCAGCCCAAAGCCAGGCUGAGACAGUCCUCAUAUCCUCUUGAGCCAAACUGUUUGGGUCUCGUUGCUUCAUGGUAUGGUCUGGAUUUGUGGGAAUGGCUUUGCGUGAGAAAGGGGAGGAGA
This 443-nucleotide long non-coding RNA is filed under the name Homo sapiens (human). Its description in RNAcentral is "non-protein coding lnc-ZBP1-2:1". Lineage: Eukaryota; Metazoa; Chordata; Mammalia; Primates; Hominidae. The record is from RNAcentral.